This 565-nucleotide long non-coding RNA is filed under the name Neogobius melanostomus (round goby). Its description in RNAcentral is "lncRNA (ENSNMLG00000021499.1)". Lineage: Eukaryota; Metazoa; Chordata; Actinopteri; Gobiiformes; Gobiidae. The record is from RNAcentral.
GUGAAAUGUGCAUAGAAUCACAUACUUGUAACAAUCUGAAUACACAGGAGGGACUGUGAGAGCUAGAAACAAGUUUGGGCCAAAACAUAAAAUAUCACUGUUUGAACAGGAAAAAUCAGGUACUCCAGCUUUAAGAGGUUUUAAAACGACAUGAGCAAUAUUUAUUAAACAUGGGAGAGUGACACAGUGAAUGGAGAAAACAAUUUUAAGCAUUAAAAAGCCGCCCAGUUCAGACCUGGUAACCCUGGUGUACAAUAACAAGGCCUCUUUGUCUGAUGUAAAGGAACAAGCUGCACUGAAGGAGCCUGCAGAGUCUGAGGAGAGCGCCCCCCUGAGUCCAGCCUGGUUUAACCACACUCUCUGCAGCGGAGACAAGCUGUUUGGAGACAAAGAGGACGAUAGAAAAAUGGACGAUCCUAAAGCUACAGACACUGGAGAAGAACUGCACCGCUGUGAUCAGUGUGGGAAGUCAUUCAGACACAAAAGUAAUCUGAAACAGCACCAGAAACACCACACAGGCACAAAUCUCCUCUGCUGCCCCUGUGUGCCAAGAAGUUCACUGCAG